Molecule: ribosomal RNA, 772 nt
Filed under: uncultured bacterium
Lineage: Bacteria
Description: bacterial SSU rRNA
Rfam family: Bacterial small subunit ribosomal RNA
Source: RNAcentral
AGAGUUUGAUCCUGGCUCAGGAUAAAGACUGGCGGCGUGCCUAACACAUGCAAGUCGAACGCUCUGUUUUGCUUCGGCAGGACAGAGAGUGGCGGACGGGUGAGUAUCACGUGGGUACCUGCCCCGAGGUGAGGAAUACCUCCGAGAAAUCGGAGACAAGUCCGCAUACGCUCUCGUGAGAGCAAAGUCGCUCUGGUAACAGCGCGACGCCUGGGGAUGGGCCUGCGGCUGAUUAGCUGGUUGGUGGGGUAACAGCUUACCAAGGCGACGAUCAGUAGCUGGUCUGAGAGGAUGGUCAGCCACACUGGGAUUGAGAACGGCCCAGACUCCUACGGGGGGCAGCAGUGAGGAAUUUUCGGCAAUGGGGGUCACCCUGACCGAGCAACGCCGCGUGCAGGAGGACGCUUUUCGGAGUGUAAACUGCUUUACUGGGGGACGACACGAAGGACGGUACCCCAGCAACCAGCCCCGGCUAACUACGUGCCAGCAGCCGCGGUAAUACGUAGGGGGCAAGCGUUGUCCGGAGUUACUGGGCGUAAAGCGCCCGCAGGCGGUGGCGUGCGUUCGUGCUGACAAUGGCUUGCUUAACGAGCCAGGGCGCACGAAAACGACGCCACUUGAGGGACCCAGAGGGACACGGAAUUCCGGGUGGAGUGGUGAAAUGCGUAGAGAUCCGGAGGAACACCAAAGGCGAAGGCAGUGUCCUGGGGGUCGCCUGACGCUCGGGGGCGAGAGCUAGGGGAGCGAACGGGAUUAGAUACCCCGGUAGUCC